UGAUGUGCAUUACUAGUCAUUUUUGGUCCUGCAGCUUGAAUGUGGUUUGAAAACUUUGAAACCACAUUUAACGUUAAAUUUCAUUGAAACUUCGCUGACCUCCCAAAAUUGGUCUUAAGAAAUUUUUCUGUUUAUGGUCCCCCCCAAUAAUGAGAUGGGAUUUACGCCCUUGGUUUUCAGCCUGAUCGUACACCUCAACACGUUAGAAUAUAGUGAAAAAGUACAUUUGUUCCUCCUUUUAGAUAGUGAAACUCAUACUAUACAGAUUCAUUACACACAGUGCAAUAUUUCAAGCCUUUAUUUCUUGUGAUUUUGGUUGUGAUCGUGCACAGUUCAUGAUAGCCACUUAUCAUGAUCUGUGUGAGAUUGCGUCUGAACGCUCUCUUACUCUGGGUCAGUCGGCUACACAAUGACUGGACAGACGGCCAGAAGACAUGGGCACCGUCCACAAGGAGGGGAAGACACAGCAGGUCAAUGCUGAAGAAGCUGGUUGUUCACAGUGUUGCAUCCAAGCAUAGUCAUAGAAAGUGACAGGGGAAAAGUGUGGAAUGAAAAGACACAGCAGCAAGGAAAAACCACAGUCUUCAGAGGAUUGUCAAGAAUAAUCUUUUCAGAAUUUGAAUGAGCUUCACAAGGAGGGAAUGUUGGAGCUACUACACUCAAGGAUCUGUGAGGUGGUGUGGUCAAAGGGUCAAAACAGGUGAAAAGAAAACAGCAGCAGCAGCUGGUUCCAAGUCCUUUUGGUAAUUUUAUUGUUUAAAAUCUUAGUUUUCUGACAUCUGUCUCGAUGAUCUUAAAUCUUACUGGUUUUAUACCAAAUUGGCAACACUUCAUUAGACCAUAUCAUGAUAAAACAAGUCAAACUAAACAUCAAAAUCUAAACAAAGAAUAAAUGAAGGAUUAUUAAUCUAAUUAAAAUAAUGAUCUUAAUAACUAAAUCCUCUUCAAAAUCUCAUGCUUAUUUCGCAUAAAUCAGAAACCAUCACAGAUGUGAUCAGCUUUUCUUUUGAUAUGGUAUUUGCUAUAAAUCAAAUGAAUAGAAUAAAAAAAGUAACGUUUUUUGUUUUUUUUCUGCAAGCCUAAUAUAUUCCAUCCAGUCAUUUCUAGCUAAUUUAUUUCAUAGUAUGAGGAUGAGGAUGGUGGUACUGAGGCUAAGCUAAUAAAAACAAUCUCACCAAAUAGUAGGAUAUGGUCCUCAUGUGCUCUGAGUAUUUCUCCCAGAAACAGGCCUGUUUGAUCUCAUAAAGCAGGUUGAUUAAUUGUAUGAAAAAUGAUCUGAACAUUUACAAUACUGCAGAAAAAUACACUUUUUCCCCACAGCAAUGACAACAUUUACCACUUGCAUAGAAACGAGUCAUAGAGAAGGAAUUUAAAGUUUAUUAUUAUAGGGCCAGUAAUAGUUAAGGACAUAUAAUCAUCUCUUUUCACUACAUUGUAAGAUAAGAAGAUCUGGACAAAUCACUUUAACAGAAUCUCAUUGUUUAGAAAAUCAAUCAAUCAAUAAGAGCAUAAAUAAAGCAAAUACAAGUUUUCAAAUUAGAUAUAGCUGUAUAGGUACUAAUAUGGGGUCUGCAUGCAUCAUGAAACACCCUCAUUUUUCUGUACAAACACAAGAAAUGUCUCGCAGGUACAAGUUCAUAUACAAAAUGACUGUAUCUGGCUACAGGAUUAAAUUAAAGAAAGGCCCAACAUAGAAAACAGGAAACCCAGGAAGCACUUCAUAGAGACCUCACACACACAAUGCACACACACACACAAACAGUCAUAUAUACAAAUUUGUAUUAUAAUAAUUGUUACAAAAUCUCUAACUCUUUACUCUCUUUCUCACAUACACAUACACACAGUUUCAUAUAUGGAUUUGUUUAUCCUGGUUUUAUAGACUAUAUUUCCCAUCUCUUCCUGAGGAAAAAAGAGCCACACAUGGCCAAAGAGCUCAAUUACACAUUGGUUGGAGUUCAAAUUUGGAGGAAGUUUACUGCCACAAGUCGAGAGCACACAUUUUCAUGCUGGAAGUAGGAUUUCAUGUUUUUCAUCUCAAAACUCCUGCCUAACAUCAGGAGGCUGUUAGCAAUUGAACAGUAGCUCACUACUGGUGGAUAUUUAGUAGCCACACAAGCUAACCCAAUGGAAGGAAACAAACUCACCAAGUAUAACACUUUCGUUCUAUUGACUGAGAGUUUGCAGGCGACUGUACUUUUUUGUUCCAAGCGUGAGUAGAAAAUCAUUGGCAAGUGAACAGAGAGAUUUGAUUCAAGCAGAGACAAGUUUUGAGAGUGAGGAGAAAGGUUUGAGAAAGCACAGUCAAUAUUUGAAAGAGAGCAGAAGUUUUGAGUACAAGCAUUUAAUGUUGUAAUCAAGAGCACCUAACCCGAGACCAGGGGCGCAACUGCAUACUUUCUGAGGUGUAUACGAACAUGUCAUCGGCACCCCCCACACCUCCGCCCCUGCCCCAAUAACAUAAACUUGUACAACUCAUCUUUAAUUAAAGUAUCAAUAAUAAUAAAUAUACAUAUAUGUGAAUAAAUUAAUUAAAAAAGAAUGAAACAAUAAACAGGGCAGUAUUUCAUAAUUUAAUAUAUAAGUGAGCCAAAGAGCCGCUUCUGUUAGUCUGUGUCUAGAACCGCCUAUGGGCUGCAGGUCUGAGGUUUUUUGUUAGCAUGUUUUCUAUCAUUCUUAUAGCUUGAUAGGAAGCUUGAUCCAAACUGGCAACCCACAUUAAUAAAAUGGUGAAAUAAUAUUGACCACAAAACACUGUAUUUAUAAAAAAAUAUCAACAUUUUUCCUACAGAAUCCUAACAAACGUUUUUAAUGUUGAACAAAUAUGUUAUUUUCUCUUCACAAUAUUUAUUUAUCUAUAAUCUAUUUGUAUGAUUUGUUCUUUUAAUCGCCAUUUAUAUUAUUUUUUGGUCUCAGGAAAUGACUGAGGGAUGUAGAGGCUGAUGUCUGGUUCUUUAGGUUCUGACGGGUCUGCGGUUCCUCUCCUGAUCCAUUCUGUCUGAUAUCAAACAACCCACUGUGCGCCCUGAAUAUCGCCGACACAUUUUUUUAAAUGCCCCUAUUAAACUUCACUGUAAUUGUUUAGCCUGCAUCUUCUUACUCACGUCUGUAUUUUUGCCAGAGGUUUUAUUUCUAAGGAUGGUGUAGUAUCGGGUGGACAUUUUAAAAAGACGCGGGUUGAUAGCAGCUCACUGCGGCUGCGUAGCAACCGUCACUAAGCAACCGUGACAACAGCGUCAGUUCGUGGGGGUGGGAGGGAUCCUAUUUAGGUCCCGCAACGACAAUUUAGCUGCCAAUAUCAUUAUCAAUUCAAACUCUUCAUUCUGCUUUGCUUCCAUCUCUGUGCCACAAUCCACAAUCUGUUUGCCCAUAUUGUCCAUGUCAGAAACCACCACUGUCUGCUCCAUUAUACAUAGCAAUUAAGUCAAUGCCCUAACGGUAAAGUAUGAACUCAACUAUGAACACUGUCCAAGGAGCGAUAAGCAAGAAGUAAGCAAGCAGAAGGCGUGCACCCUCCCUCCCGCUGCCAGGCAGCACAGUGUUGUAAUGUCUGCCACCAUGACAGGUGACGAAAACAAUCAAAGAGCAUGUUCUGCAUUCUCUUUCAUUCUUGUGUUUUAUUUAUUCACUAAUUAAAUAAAUAUCAGUGUAUAUAAUUAAAUAAGAUAAUAAUAGCUACUGCAGUGUACACAGAACACUACAAGAACAAAGAACGGCUCUCAGUGAGGUUCCAGUCCUAUCUUUCUGUAAAGAGCCGUUCAGAACAAUCAGAUUAUUCGUGAAUGUCACAUCACUAUAUUGCAGACUUUGGUCUCAGCGUUGUCACAUAUAAGUGACACGUCAGUCAACACUUCCACACAAUAAUUCAAAAGUUGGACGUACUCCCCACCGUCUAUGAAAGUGAAGCGCUGCUGAAUUUACAUGUCACCAUAUCUUAUGAUUUAUAAACCGGGAUUCUAUUACUGACGAUUAGGCAGACAUCUGCCACUCAGAGACAAACACUGCGCAUGUCUUGGAGCGUCGCAUGCGAGUGAAAAGAGAAGGCGAUGUGUGACAGCAGUAGUAGAAACACAUAAUAUGUAAGUCAACUUAUUGCUUGGAUUUUAAUCUGUAUGUUUUGCAUACCGACAAUAUGCUUUUUAGUGAAAUUUCUGCAGUUGUGAUCUUGACCGAUCUUGAAAUAAAAUCCAGAGUCCUCAACGCCCGAGACCGAGACAAUCAAAAAGUGGUCUGGAUUACUACAACUCUACAAGCAUUACAAGUUUUGAGAAGAAAGACAUAAGUCCUGCUUUCAAACUGAAAAUGUGUGCUCUCAAAUUAUGGCAGUAAAAUUCCCCCAUAUUCACAAGAAAAGAGAGCACGCCCCUGUGCAAACACAUAGAAGUCUUGCAUGUUUCCAAACAGUUGUGGAUUUUGGUUCUGUUUGUUUUUGUGCAGUUUUCAGCUGUGAGGUUCUGAUCUCUGCUCAGUUCAUUUCAGUUGAUCUGUUCAGACUGAUUCAUUUUUUGCUUGUGUUUUUCUUUGUAUGUGCAGGUUUCACACAGUUUCUACUUUCCUUUGCCUUCGUUUAUUUGGCUCUAUCUGAACUCAGCUGUAUCACCAUGGCAACACUUUCUCAGCUUAUGAUCUGCUCUGGAGUAGCCAUGUCUGUGGAGCCGGUCUGCAUACACGGAGACAGAAGCAGCCCACUGAGAAUUUUCUCAUGAAGGAAGGGUGAUUGGAAACAUUUUUUAUUUAUAGGAUUUAUUCCAAUAUGUCUGUCUUUAGGAAUAUUGAGUUUUUAAUUUAAAAAUUAACUACAUUUCUGAUUGAAUCAUAGCAAGAACGUCCUGGAUUUGAGUUCCAGUUGGCCCCUUUCCAAUUGGAGUUAGCUUGUUCUUCCUGGAUGGAUGGAUGGAUGGAUGGAUGGAUGGAUGGAUCAAUUGAUGGAUGGAUGGAUGGUUUUUGAGUACUAAAACCCAUUUUAGAUACAACUAUAUCUGGAAAACAAAAUUCUAACUCUAGUGUGAUGUCAUCCUGAAUGGUGUGACAUGUUGCAAUGAGGUGUUUCUAUUUUAGAUGCAAACUGCUAAGUUUUUUUCCUUUCAAAUUUGUAGCACUGAUUUUGUUUUACAUAUUUUUAAUAAUUAACAGUUUUUACUUUCAGGGUCUGAUAUCUUGCCUCAUAAUGUAUCUAAUGCCUCCAAUUAGGAGGCCAUUAUUUCAUUUAAAUAUGAUCUGAUCAGCUUUCACAGACUGAAACAGUGCAAAUCAGGUUGGUGUUUUUAAAAUUCCAAAUUUUACAAACUCCAAAGAAGUCUUGCUACAAGGGGUACAAUGUAUUAACAUAGUUAUUUCCAAGGUGUGGCCCUUUCUUCUUGAUAAGAAGAGUAUUUCUUAUUGAAUAUGGCUCAAAACAUGGUUACUGUUACCAUUGUUUAAACACAGAGGUAAUAAGAUGUUGUACAAAAGCCUCCCACCCCCUCCCACACAUACAGAUAUGAAUAUUCUUCACAAAAAAAUAAAUGUAAAUUCCUGCCAUCACCGACAUGUUAUUUUCAUCUCUGUUAGGGAUUCAGAAGUUUUAUUUGACGUCCCUUAGACCCUUUAAUCCUCACCCGCGGAAAAUACAAUGGAAAAACGGCACACAGGCGUUCUGUUGCAUGUCGAACAGCUGUUGGUCAGUUCCAAGCAGCUUUCAUUAGUGGUUAAGUCGGCGGUGAGAGGAGUGAUUGUUUCCGCUGAAACUGGUUGUUCUUUGCUCGGUUCAUAAACCUCCACAACAUGGAUGAGCUCAGAUGGAUUUAGAACGUCUGUUAAUCAUACUUCAGCUCUCUGAUGAGAACAUCCGCAGAUGAGUUCCACAAACAUGUCAGAGUAGCCUUAUGACAAGGUCAAUAGUAUGUUGCAUAUUUCCUCUAAAUCAAUGUGAAAGGGCUGUUGGGGCUUUGAAGCUAUAGCUGCAGAAGGGACAAAAAUCCUCUUCAUUCUAAAUGCUCAUCCAAUCAUCUCGUCUAGAAUAUUUCCGUAUUUUACUUUAAAUAAUUAGUAUCUGCUUUAAUUAACAUUCUUUUCCAACUCUACACAGUUCAUUACACACCUCUCCCUCGGUGUCAUGAUUCCUGCUGGCAUCAUUCUGAACUCCAAGACUUUGGAAAAUGAAAGGAUAAGUUGAUAUAUGAUGUUAUUUUUUUCCAUAAGGAAGAUCCCACAAGCACUAGUUAUAAUAAAAAUACAUUCUUAUAAAAAUGUUUUUUUUUAUGGUUCGAUAUAGAAUCUCUACCUAGAACUGCUGCUGUACUCUUUUGUCCUUCAAGAGAAAGAAACCUGAAUCAAAAUAAAACAGUUUGCUUUCUUCUCUUUUUAGACAAAGAACCUCAAAUAGAAUAAAGAAAUGUAACCCUGAAAAACCAGAGUAGAUGGAAAAGUAAUGAUUAUUUGAAAUGGCAUAUUUUUCACUGAAUCUGCUUCUGCUAAAAAUAAUAACUAUGAGGACAGGAUUUAGCAAUUAUCAAAAGAUAAAACUGAUCUCUAGUUUUGUAUUGUUGUCUUGUUAAUAUUGAUAAGUUUAACAGCACAAGGUUGAAGUCAAAGUGCUUCUUCUGACCUGAGUCUUUCGUGAGAGUUAUCUGCAGGUUCUGUAGUUAACAUCUAGUGUUUAUUCAUAAUAAAUUGCCACACUGUUCUUCUGGUGUGAGAAGAAACAAAAGGUAGUACUGCUGCCAAAAUCCCAGGCAGAUCUUAUCUGUUUAAGAUCUGCCAGGUUUAAGAGUAGAUUACUCUCUCCCAUUUCAGCCAUCACAAGACUUGUUUUAAUCUUGAUCUGUCUAGCGAACAAAGAGAUUAUCAGAAAGAUGUGUGCAACAUUUUGGCAAUACCAUGGGAUUAACAAUGGUUUGUGUUUAGUCCAAAUGAUUUUGUACGGCACAAGUCAGCAGGUUUCAAAAGAGAAAAUCUGCUAAAAAAUAUUAAAGCUGGUGGUGAUACGAGAAUUCAGCUUUUCUAUGUUCCCCCAUUCACCAUUAGGAUUCUAUUAGCACCUUGCUCCUUAACUGAUGGCUUUCUAUUCUGUACAAGGAAGUUAUAAAUAUUUUUUUACUUCAAUGAAACUAUUUGUGCAAUGUUGGACAUGGGAAGCUUUAAAACUGAAAUGGGUUGUAAAAGAAGAGUAAUGCUCAGGACUAUAAAAAUACAUCUCAGUUUGCCAAGUAACUAGAAACUAAUUUAAAAACUGGGUUGAAGUUGGUUGAUUCAUUAAGUUCUGAAGAACUGUUCAUAUGGGCAGCAAAGGAAAUGAUCAAAGUUGCUUUUUCCAGAAUCUGUCUUUAGAUUGCUAAAAUCUAAAGACAUGAAAGAGCUAACCUAAGUUCUCGAACUCAUCAUAUGUAUAUGUAUAUGUAUAUGUACCCUAUAAUCUGAUCUAGCUUUUUGAUUGUGUGCAAAUAUAUUUGUCUAAUGUUUGUAAGAUUGUCACCUCCUUAAGAAUGUUAGUAGAAGACUGAAAAAUAGACAUUAGAACUGAUCCAGUGCUUAUCCACUCUUGAACAAGACAUUCUGACUUAUGGUACUUGGUUUGCAGUACUUUUUAUUUUGCAGAUUUUGGAUAAAUACGUUUUU
Long non-coding RNA from Xiphophorus hellerii (green swordtail), 7593 nucleotides. RefSeq lists it as uncharacterized. The transcript has 2 exons. NCBI's taxonomy places the organism in Eukaryota, Metazoa, Chordata, Actinopteri, Cyprinodontiformes, Poeciliidae. The record is from RefSeq and is a predicted model, not a curated record.